This 376-nucleotide ribosomal RNA is filed under the name uncultured bacterium. Its description in RNAcentral is "bacterial SSU rRNA". It matches the Rfam family "Bacterial small subunit ribosomal RNA", at positions 523 to 898 of the family's 1533-position model. The record is from RNAcentral.
AUACGUAGGUGGCGAGCGUUGUCCGGAAUUACUGGGUGUAAAGGGUGCGCAGGCGGGCCCGCAAGUUGGAUGUGAAAUCCCACGGCUUAACUGUGGGGGGUCAUUCAAAACUGCGGGUCUUGAGUGAGGUAGAGGCAGGCGGAAUUCCCGGUGUAGCGGUGAAAUGCAUAGAGAUCGGGAGGAACACCAGUGGCGAAGGCGGCCUGCUGGGCCUUUACUGACGCUGAGGCACGAAAGCAUGGGUAGCAAACAGGAUUAGAUACCCUGGUAGUCCAUGCUGUAAACGAUGAUUGCUAGGUGUGGGGGGACUGACCCCUUCCGUGCCGGAGUCAACACAAUAAGCAAUCCACCUGGGGAGUACGGCCGCAAGGUUGAA